GGGCCCGCACAAGCGGUGGAGCAUGUGGUUUAAUUCGAUGAUACGCGAGGAACCUUACCAGGGCUUAAAUGUAGUGGGACAGGUCUAGAGAUAGACCCUUCUUCGGACUCAUUACAAGGUGCUGCAUGGUUGUCGUCAGCUCGUGCCGUGAGGUGUCAGGUUAAGUCCUAUAACGAGCGCAACCCCUAUCGUUAGUUGCCAGCGAGUAAUGUCGGGAACUCUAACGAAACUGCCAGUGCAAACUGUGAGGAAGGUGGGGAUGACGUCAAAUCAUCACGGCCCUUACGUCCUGGCUACACACGUGCUACAAUGGCCGGUACAGAGGGCGGCCAACUUGCGAAAGUGAGCGAA
This 351-nucleotide ribosomal RNA is filed under the name uncultured bacterium. RNAcentral's name for it is "bacterial SSU rRNA". It matches the Rfam family "Bacterial small subunit ribosomal RNA", at positions 917 to 1271 of the family's 1533-position model. The record is from RNAcentral.